RNAcentral lists this unclassified non-coding RNA (342 nucleotides) under soil metagenome. RNAcentral describes it as "partial contains 5.8S ribosomal RNA, internal transcribed spacer 2, and large subunit ribosomal RNA". The stretch from base 1 to 120 matches the Rfam family "5.8S ribosomal RNA", at positions 35 to 154 of the family's 154-position model. The record is from RNAcentral.
GAUGAAGAACGUAGCGAAAUGCGAUAAGUAGUGUGAAUUGCAGAAUUCAGUGAAUCAUCGAAUCUUUGAACGCACAUUGCGCCCCUUGGUAUUCCAUGGGGCAUGCCUGUUCGAGCGUCAUUUGUACCCUCAAGCUUUGCUUGGUGUUGAGCGUCUUGUCUCUAGCUUUGCUGGAGACUCGCCUUAAAGUAAUUGGCAGCCGGCCUACUGGUUUCGGAGCGCAGCACAAGUCGCACUCUCUAUCAGCAAAGGUCUAGCAUCCAUUAAGCCUUUUUUUUCAACUUUUGACCUCGGAUCAGGUAGGGAUACCCGCUGAACUUAAGCAUAUCAAUAAGCGGAGGA